AAAGCAGUAGCUCAGUGGUAGAGCUCAUGUAUAUGGUGAGCAAUAACUGUCAGGAGGUCGCAGAUUCGAAUCCUGCUCGAUGUC
This is a non-coding RNA of Meloidogyne enterolobii, 84 nucleotides long. NCBI's taxonomy places the organism in Eukaryota, Metazoa, Nematoda, Chromadorea, Rhabditida, Meloidogynidae. The record is from the annotation of a GenBank genome assembly.